Molecule: ribosomal RNA, 448 nt
Filed under: uncultured bacterium
Lineage: Bacteria
Description: partial 16S ribosomal RNA
Rfam family: Bacterial small subunit ribosomal RNA
Source: RNAcentral
AACGAACGCUGGCGGCAUGCCUAACACAUGCAAGUCGAACGAGAUCUUCGGGUCUAGUGGCGCACGGGUGCGUAACGCGUGGGAAUCUGCCCUUUGGUUCGGAAUAACAGUUGGAAACGACUGCUAAUACCGGAUGAUGACGAAAGUCCAAAGAUUUAUCGCCAGAGGAUGAGCCCGCGUAGGAUUAGCUAGUUGGUGUGGUAAAGGCGCACCAAGGCGACGAUCCUUAGCUGUCUGAGAGGAUGAUCAGCCACAUUGGGACUGAGACACGGCCCAAACUCCUACGGGAGGCAGCAGUGGGGAAUAUUGGACAAUGGGGGCAACCCUGAUCCAGCCAUGCCGCGUGAGUGAUGAAGGCCUUAGGGUUGUAAAGCUCUUUUAGCAGGGAAGAUAAUGACGGUACCUGCAGAGAAAGCCCCGGCUAACUGCGUGCCAGCCGCCGCGGUAA